Molecule: ribosomal RNA, 239 nt
Filed under: uncultured bacterium
Lineage: Bacteria
Description: partial 16S ribosomal RNA
Rfam family: Bacterial small subunit ribosomal RNA
Source: RNAcentral
GAUCAUGGCUCAGGAUGAACGCUAGCUACAGGCUUAACACAUGCAAGUCGAGGGGCAGCAUGAACUUAGCUUGCUAAGUUUGAUGGCGACCGGCGCACGGGUGAGUAACACGUAUCCAACCUUCCGUUUACUCAGGGAUAGCCUUUCGAAAGAAAGAUUAAUACCUAAUAGUAUGGUGAGAUUGCAUGAUAGCACCAUUAAAGAUUUAUUGGUAAACGAUGGGGAUGCGUUCCAUUAGG